RNAcentral lists this ribosomal RNA (303 nucleotides) under uncultured bacterium. RNAcentral's name for it is "partial 16S ribosomal RNA". It matches the Rfam family "Bacterial small subunit ribosomal RNA", at positions 507 to 808 of the family's 1533-position model. The record is from RNAcentral.
AGCAGUCGCCGCGGUAACACCGAGGGUGCGAGCGUUAAUCGGAUUUACUGGGCGUAAAGCGUGCGUAGGCGGCUUCUUAAGUCGGAUGUGAAAUCCCUGAGCUUAACUUAGGAAUUGCAUUCGAUACUGGGAAGCUAGAGUAUGGGAGAGGAUGGUAGAAUUCCAGGUGUAGCGGUGAAAUGCGUAGAGAUCUGGAGGAAUACCGAUGGCGAAGGCAGCCAUCUGGCCUAAUACUGACGCUGAGGUACGAAAGCAUGGGGAGCAAACAGGAUUAGAUACCCCCGUAGUCCCUGUCUCUUAACA